AUUUAAUUGUGUCAGAAUUUAAGCCAUAAAGUUAUAUGAAUCAUGGCUCUCAAACAUAUUUUUUUCUAAGUUGCUCACGAUGCAGUAAAUGGAAUUUAUUCCACUGUUUAUUAAACUUAUAAAUCUCUCCAUAUAAGUGCCUGAGUCCACCACUUCAGGAUGCAUCCAUACUAAUAACUUACUUCUAAGUUCAAGCUGUUAUUCAAGCUAAAAAUCCUGUAUUGACCACACAACGUGUUACCUCAGAUUUUGGCUUUAGUCCAGAACAAGGCAAAUGGCAGCCCUAGCAGAAAUAUUUGUGCUUAAAGAGAGGCUGGCUUCUGCAGAAAUUUUGCCUUCUACAAGCAGUGUUGAAGAGGUGUCAUGAACAGAUUGGUGCUGGGAGCCAGAGCCCACAUUUGAAUACAGGUGCCAAGGACGCACAGAGUGUAUGUGUAUACAGAGUGUGGACAAAUGAUUCUCUGAAGUGAGGGCACCUCAGAGAAGCAACCAGAAAGACAAACAUUUAUGACAGAACAUUGCUUAUGUGUCCUUAAUUCCUAAAAGCCUAAAGGAUGAUAAGAUUUCUAUAUGAUAACCUGCUUUGGAUGGCCAUCAUGACUGUAUAUUUAAACAGGAAAAUGACUGACACCUGGAAUAACUUAUUGCUACAAGUUCCUUAUGAGGCAAAGAGAAGCUUCCAAUAGAUACAGCAGCAUACCUUAAAUAUUAUGUGGCUAAUGACCCAAAGACAGACACGGUUCCUCGUUCUCUUGAGGAAACUAACAAGAGGAGACUGAAAAGGCUCAGGCCUUGAAAAAAAUUUCUCAGUGGUGGAACAACUUUUAUGGUUAGUCUUUGCACACAAUGAGAUUUCUAGUUUCUCAGGAACUUGUUCAAUGAGAUUUCCUUUCUUUUUUUUUUUUCUUUUUUUUUUUUUUUUUCCCCUACUAUCACUGUCCUUCCAGGAACAGAACUGAUGUCAUGCUGUACUGCUGGGAUUUUUACAAGACAUGGGAUUCCCUGGGACAUUUAUUUAUGAAGAAAAUGGGUUGUGGAAAGGAAGAAAGGACUACUGAAAGAAAUAGGAAGCCAAAAGAGAUCACUGAAGAAAAUAAAUCUUCCAACAUAAGAAAACAUAAAGCAGGUUCAGAGCUUCAAUAAUGCCAUGGCCUCCUGUUCCACCACAUCUUCUCCUUGUGUUGCUCAGCCUCCAGGAAUUCUGUGUCACUGUGGUCCUUCUUGCUGUGUUUGUGUAGAUACUGUGGAGACAGCUCUCUCUUGCAAACAGACAGAGUGAAAAGACAGGGAGAGAUUUUUUGUCCCAGUAAGUGGUCUUUGUCAGGAUUCAAAAUGUCUUAGCAGACAGUUGAAGGAGCUUUUCUGCUUGUGAAAGGAAGAGAGGAGUAGAGAAGAGGAGUAGCCAGCCGGGCACUCUCAGCCCAGGGCAUUCAUAGGAUCACAGAAUCACAGAAUUGUUGGAAGGGAAUUAAAGAUCAUCUAGUUCCAACCACCCUGCCAUGGGCAGGGACACCUUCCAGUAGACCAGGUUGCCCAUCCAACUUGGCCUUAAACAUCUCCAGGGGUGGGGCAUCCACAACAUCUCUGGACAGCCUUUCCCAGUGCCUUACCAUCCUCAUAGUAAAUGAUUUCUUCCUUAUGCCUUUCUGUCCUGUCCUGCCAUUGAAAUGUACCAAGCUGCUUGAUUUUUUUGUAGUCUCCACAAAGGCAGAUCACCUAUUUCCUCUUGGCAAAAUAAA
Molecule: long non-coding RNA, 1739 nt
Organism: Anser brachyrhynchus (Pink-footed goose)
Lineage: Eukaryota; Metazoa; Chordata; Aves; Anseriformes; Anatidae
Source: Ensembl